RNAcentral lists this ribosomal RNA (238 nucleotides) under Salmonella enterica. RNAcentral's name for it is "partial 23S ribosomal RNA". It matches the Rfam family "Bacterial large subunit ribosomal RNA", at positions 1 to 230 of the family's 2925-position model. The record is from RNAcentral. Lineage: Bacteria; Pseudomonadati; Pseudomonadota; Gammaproteobacteria; Enterobacterales; Enterobacteriaceae.
GGGUUGUGAGGUUAAGCGACUAAGCGUACACGGUGGAUGCCCUGGCAGUCAGAGGCGAUGAAGGACGUGCUAAUCUGCGAUAAGCGCCGGUAAGGUGAUAUGAACCGUUAUAACCGGCGAUUUCCGAAUGGGGAAACCCAGUGUGUUUCGACACACUAUCAUUACGUGAAUACAUAGCGUAAUGAAGCGAACCGGGGGAACUGAAACAUCUAAGUACCCCGAGGAAAAGAAAUCAACC